GUGCGCGCUCCUGCCUGCGUGCCCGAGACGCCCGGAUGGGCUGACACGCCUGUUCGCGCGGAUUCCGGAGACCCUAGCUGGCGCUGAGGGCUUCCUCUAGUAGGCGGUGGUCGAGUUGCACAGGUUAAUACAGAGUAGAGAAAAGAACGUGCCGGGACAUAGUUAUAGUAUUUAACUUCUUGUGAAGGAAGUAUGCUUGGGUUCGCCUGAAUGAAACAGCCCCUGCGGCGAGAGAGUGACAGUCCUGGAUCACCACCUUCUUCGGCCGUCCGCUGCCCAGGUCAGGAUGAGGAAUCUGCACCGAGAUUGACUGACUUUAAGAACGCACCUCGGGGUGGAGCUCAGUAGUGGAGCACUUGCUUACAUGCUUGAGGCCCAGCACUGCACAAAUAAAGUAACAAAACACACAA
This is a long non-coding RNA of Ictidomys tridecemlineatus (thirteen-lined ground squirrel), 410 nucleotides long. RefSeq lists it as uncharacterized. The record is from RefSeq and is a predicted model, not a curated record. Lineage: Eukaryota; Metazoa; Chordata; Mammalia; Rodentia; Sciuridae.